This is a long non-coding RNA of Actinia tenebrosa (Australian red waratah sea anemone), 1138 nucleotides long. RefSeq lists it as uncharacterized. Lineage: Eukaryota; Metazoa; Cnidaria; Anthozoa; Actiniaria; Actiniidae. The record is from RefSeq and is a predicted model, not a curated record.
UCUGGAACCUGUAAUGACGGUGCAGCAAUUGGUGAAUAAUUUUGUUUGAGUGUUGCAGUUGGUCUAGAACCCGUAACACUCUCUGACCCUGUAUCAUCGCUUCGUUCAUAUUGAAGAAAUGUGUCUUGCGUUGAAGCAGCAGCGUUCGCAGGUAUCGGUCUAGAAAAAGACCCUACAGAGUGCGGAAAUGGCUGCAUUGAAAUCGAUGAAGAUCGUUGAGAUGGUGGAGCUGUUGGUUGUGAUGGCGGUGGUGGAGGUGGAGGUUUUGGUGGUGGGGAAAGACCAGUUGGUUGAACUACAGCUGGAUCCACUGGCUCCAAAUACACCAGUUCAGAUGGCUCCGGUUUGUGGACAACUUCGUAAAUAUGAUGCACCUCGUCUUGCAUAGCUUUGCCUAAGAAGGAAUCCCAGCUUGUGAAGGGACGUUCAUGCCAGGACUUUGACCAGGCAUUGCCUGGAAAUUCGGGAUGUAGACCAUCUGCAUAMCUCUACCACUGGGAUGUGGGAUCAUCAUGGCUGCGUAAUGUUGUUGGUCUCGGACUCGCUCCUUCACGGCCGAACGAAACAACCUUGCCUCUUCUUCGUCACAGAAAUUCAGCCCUGCUCUGCAAUCCUGGAYGGAUUUGUAAAACAACGCGCCAAAAGGAGUUGGACGAUUGCUGUACUGAUAGACUGGGAUAUGUAAUGAAAAGACUAAUGAAAAGAAUCUCUCUCACCGUGUUGUUUUCCUCCUCCGACAAAAGACACGACUGCGCAUGCUUAGACGCAGCGGUCGUCAUUUUCUAUCAACUCUGUUUUCCUCGCUUCUCUGUACUCGUUGAAMCAGCAUACGARUGAUACCAGGAUUGGUUGUGCCGGCAUUAUGACGUCGGGAUAUGUAUUACGUGUGGUACUGAGCGCGCGCACCGUACUCUUAGACCUAGGGCAAACGUCGAACUUUCCAAUGCACCGAGCUUAAUUACAUCAAAGAAUGCCGCCUCAUUAUCACCUGAUAUCCAUUGUUUUUAAUGAGUUCGGUGCAUGGAAAGUUCGACGUUUACCCUAGGCCUUAGGCACUUCUGAUCUGUAGGUCGACUUUUUUUUYCGUACGUUUCUGCGCAUACUCGUCAGCACAUUUUUGCAAUCAGUUUUCGUUUAG